RNAcentral lists this long non-coding RNA (1151 nucleotides) under Rhinopithecus bieti (black snub-nosed monkey). Its description in RNAcentral is "lncRNA (ENSRBIG00000046604.1)". Lineage: Eukaryota; Metazoa; Chordata; Mammalia; Primates; Cercopithecidae. The record is from RNAcentral.
UUAAACCAAAGUCUGGGUUUUUUACAGGUCCCUGAAUGAUGUGACUUUAUCAUUGUUAAUGGAUCAAGCCCAUGACUCCAGAUUUCGGCUUCUUAAAUGUCAAAAUAGAGUGAUUAAGUUGAGUACAAAUCCUUUCCCAGCACCAUACUUGAAGCCAUGUGAAAUAGGAUUGGAAGCAAAAAGGGUCAAGUUGACCCCUGAUAGCAAGAAAGAGGAAAGCUUUGUUUGUGAACACCCAUCUAAGAAAGAGUGUGUACAGAUAAUUACUGCUGUAACAUCUCUUUCACCACUUUUAGCAUUCAGUAAAUUUUGUUGCACUGUACUGCUACACAUUAUGGAGAGAGAGAGUGGUAACUGUCCCAAAGAUCGUUAUGUUGUAUGUGGCAGAGUGUUUUUAAGUCUAGAAGAUCUUUCAACUGGGAAGUACCUACUGACGUUUCCAAAGAAGAAACCUAUAGAGCACAUGGAAGAUCUUUUUGCACUCCUCGCAGCAUUCCACAAAUCUUGUUUUCAAAUCACGUCACCUGGCUAUGCCCUGAAUUCAAUGAAGGUGUGGCUCUUAGAACAUAUGAAAUGUGAAAUAAUCAAAGAAUUUCCAGAAGUGUACUUUUGUGAAAGGCCGGGAAGUUUCUAUGGGACACUCUUCACCUGGAAACAGAGAACACCAUUUGAAGGGAUUUUAAUAAUCUAUUCCAGGAAUCAAACAGUUAUGUUCCAGUGCCUUCAUAAUCUCAUCAGAAUUCUCCCUAUAAACUGUUUCCUCAAAAAUCUAAAAUCAGGAAGUGAGAAUUUCCUAAUUGAUAAUAUGGCAUUUACGUUGGAGAAGGAACUAGUCACCCUUAGUUCUGUUUCUUCUGCCAUAGCUAAACAUGAAAGCAAUUUUAUGCAGAGGUGUGAAGUGAGCAAAGGAAAGAGUAGUGUCGUCGUGGGUGCUUUAUCAGACAGAAGGGAAAACAUCCAUCCCUACAGAAAAGAACUUCAGAGAGAAAAGAAGAAAAUGUUGCAAACGAACCUAAAAGUGAGUGGUACCCUUUACAGGGAAAUAACUUUAAAAGUAGCUGAGGUUCAGUUGAAAUCAGACUUCGCUGCACAGAAACUGAGUAAUUUAUAAUUAUAAUUUCAAUUUGAUCAUAUUUUAAAAUAUGUUUUCA